GACCAGAGUUCAUUUUCAAAUCCAGCCUAGGACACUUACUAGCUGUAUGACCCUGGGCAAAUCACUUGACCUGUUUGCCUCAGUUUCCUCAUUUGUAAAAUGGGGAUAAUAGUACCUACCUCCCAAAGUUGUGAGGAUCAGCU
This 143-nucleotide small nucleolar RNA is filed under the name Notamacropus eugenii (tammar wallaby). RNAcentral describes it as "Small nucleolar RNA ACA59 (ENSMEUG00000018284.1)". The record is from RNAcentral. Lineage: Eukaryota; Metazoa; Chordata; Mammalia; Diprotodontia; Macropodidae.